Molecule: ribosomal RNA, 253 nt
Filed under: uncultured bacterium
Lineage: Bacteria
Description: partial 16S ribosomal RNA
Rfam family: Bacterial small subunit ribosomal RNA
Source: RNAcentral
UACAGAGGGUGCGAGCGUUAAUCGGAAUUACUGGGCGUAAAGCGUGCGUAGACGGUUAUUUAAGUCGGGUGUGAAAGCCCCGGGCUCAACCUGGGAAUUGCAUUCGAGACUGAAUAGCUAGGGUACGGUAGAGGGAAGCGGAAUUUCCGGUGUAGCGGUGAAAUGCGUAGAUAUCUGGAGGAAUACCGGUGGCGAAGGCGGCAUCCUGGACCGGCAUUGACGCUGAUGAGCGAAAGCUAGGGGAGCAAACGGG